RNAcentral lists this ribosomal RNA (301 nucleotides) under uncultured bacterium. Its description in RNAcentral is "partial 16S ribosomal RNA". It matches the Rfam family "Bacterial small subunit ribosomal RNA", at positions 509 to 807 of the family's 1533-position model. The record is from RNAcentral.
CAGUCGCCGCGGUAAUGCGGAGGGAGCUAGCGUUGUUCGGAAUCACUGGGCGUAAAGCGCACGUAGGCGGCUAUUCAAGUCAGGGGUGAAAGCCCGGGGCUCAACCCCGGAACUGCCUUUGAAACUAGAUAGCUUGAAUCUUGGAGAGGCGAGUGGAAUUCCGAGUGUAGAGGUGAAAUUCGUAGAUAUUCGGAAGAACACCAGUGGCGAAGGCGACUCGCUGGACAAGUAUUGACGCUGAGGUGCGAAAGCGUGGGGAGCAAACAGGAUUAGAUACCCGAGUAGUCCCUGUCUCUUAUAC